Molecule: ribosomal RNA, 2931 nt
Filed under: Escherichia coli
Lineage: Bacteria; Pseudomonadati; Pseudomonadota; Gammaproteobacteria; Enterobacterales; Enterobacteriaceae
Description: bacterial LSU rRNA
Rfam family: Bacterial large subunit ribosomal RNA
Source: RNAcentral
GGGUUGUGAGGUUAAGCGACUAAGCGUACACGGUGGAUGCCCUGGCAGUCAGAGGCGAUGAAGGACGUGCUAAUCUGCGAUAAGCGUCGGUAAGGUGAUAUGAACCGUUAUAACCGGCGAUUUCCGAAUGGGGAAACCCAGUGUGAUUCGUCACACUAUCAUUAACUGAAUCCAUAGGUUAAUGAGGCGAACCGGGGGAACUGAAACAUCUAAGUACCCCGAGGAAAAGAAAUCAACCGAGAUUCCCCCAGUAGCGGCGAGCGAACGGGGAGCAGCCCAGAGCCUGAAUCAGUGUGUGUGUUAGUGGAAGCGUCUGGAAAGGCGCGCGAUACAGGGUGACAGCCCCGUACACAAAAAUGCACAUGCUGUGAGCUCGAUGAGUAGGGCGGGACACGUGGUAUCCUGUCUGAAUAUGGGGGGACCAUCCUCCAAGGCUAAAUACUCCUGACUGACCGAUAGUGAACCAGUACCGUGAGGGAAAGGCGAAAAGAACCCCGGCGAGGGGAGUGAAAAAGAACCUGAAACCGUGUACGUACAAGCAGUGGGAGCACGCUUAGGCGUGUGACUGCGUACCUUUUGUAUAAUGGGUCAGCGACUUAUAUUCUGUAGCAAGGUUAACCGAAUAGGGGAGCCGAAGGGAAACCGAGUCUUAACUGGGCGUUAAGUUGCAGGGUAUAGACCCGAAACCCGGUGAUCUAGCCAUGGGCAGGUUGAAGGUUGGGUAACACUAACUGGAGGACCGAACCGACUAAUGUUGAAAAAUUAGCGGAUGACUUGUGGCUGGGGGUGAAAGGCCAAUCAAACCGGGAGAUAGCUGGUUCUCCCCGAAAGCUAUUUAGGUAGCGCCUCGUGAAUUCAUCUCCGGGGGUAGAGCACUGUUUCGGCAAGGGGGUCAUCCCGACUUACCAACCCGAUGCAAACUGCGAAUACCGGAGAAUGUUAUCACGGGAGACACACGGCGGGUGCUAACGUCCGUCGUGAAGAGGGAAACAACCCAGACCGCCAGCUAAGGUCCCAAAGUCAUGGUUAAGUGGGAAACGAUGUGGGAAGGCCCAGACAGCCAGGAUGUUGGCUUAGAAGCAGCCAUCAUUUAAAGAAAGCGUAAUAGCUCACUGGUCGAGUCGGCCUGCGCGGAAGAUGUAACGGGGCUAAACCAUGCACCGAAGCUGCGGCAGCGACGCUGAUGCGUUGUUGGGUAGGGGAGCGUUCUGUAAGCCUGUGAAGGUGUGCUGUGAGGCAUGUUGGAGGUAUCAGAAGUGCGAAUGCUGACAUAAGUAACGAUAAAGCGGGUGAAAAGCCCGCUCGCCGGAAGACCAAGGGUUCCUGUCCAACGUUAAUCGGGGCAGGGUGAGUCGACCCCUAAGGCGAGGCCGAAAGGCGUAGUCGAUGGGAAACAGGUUAAUAUUCCUGUACUUGGUGUUACUGCGAAGGGGGGACGGAGAAGGCUAUGUUGGCCGGGCGACGGUUGUCCCGGUUUAAGCGUGUAGGCUGGUUUUCCAGGCAAAUCCGGAAAAUCAAGGCUGAGGCGUGAUGACGAGGCACUACGGUGCUGAAGCAACAAAUGCCCUGCUUCCAGGAAAAGCCUCUAAGCAUCAGGUAACAUCAAAUCGUACCCCAAACCGACACAGGUGGUCAGGUAGAGAAUACCAAGGCGCUUGAGAGAACUCGGGUGAAGGAACUAGGCAAAAUGGUGCCGUAACUUCGGGAGAAGGCACGCUGAUAUUUAGGUGAAGCGACUUGCUCGUGGAGCUGAAAUCAGUCGAAGAUACCAGCUGGCUGCAACUGUUUAUUAAAAACACAGCACUGUGCAAACACGAAAGUGGACGUAUACGGUGUGACGCCUGCCCGGUGCCGGAAGGUUAAUUGAUGGGGUUAGCGCAAGCGAAGCUCUUGAUCGAAGCCCCGGUAAACGGCGGCCGUAACUAUAACGGUCCUAAGGUAGCGAAAUUCCUUGUCGGGUAAGUUCCGACCUGCACGAAUGGCGUAAUGAUGGCCAGGCUGUCUCCACCCGAGACUCAGUGAAAUUGAACUCGCUGUGAAGAUGCAGUGUACCCGCGGCAAGACGGAAAGACCCCGUGAACCUUUACUAUAGCUUGACACUGAACAUUGAGCCUUGAUGUGUAGGAUAGGUGGGAGGCUUUGAAGUGUGGACGCCAGUCUGCAUGGAGCCGACCUUGAAAUACCACCCUUUAAUGUUUGAUGUUCUAACGUUGACCCGUAAUCCGGGUUGCGGACAGUGUCUGGUGGGUAGUUUGACUGGGGCGGUCUCCUCCUAAAGAGUAACGGAGGAGCACGAAGGUUGGCUAAUCCUGGUCGGACAUCAGGAGGUUAGUGCAAUGGCAUAAGCCAGCUUGACUGCGAGCGUGACGGCGCGAGCAGGUGCGAAAGCAGGUCAUAGUGAUCCGGUGGUUCUGAAUGGAAGGGCCAUCGCUCAACGGAUAAAAGGUACUCCGGGGAUAACAGGCUGAUACCGCCCAAGAGUUCAUAUCGACGGCGGUGUUUGGCACCUCGAUGUCGGCUCAUCACAUCCUGGGGCUGAAGUAGGUCCCAAGGGUAUGGCUGUUCGCCAUUUAAAGUGGUACGCGAGCUGGGUUUAGAACGUCGUGAGACAGUUCGGUCCCUAUCUGCCGUGGGCGCUGGAGAACUGAGGGGGGCUGCUCCUAGUACGAGAGGACCGGAGUGGACGCAUCACUGGUGUUCGGGUUGUCAUGCCAAUGGCACUGCCCGGUAGCUAAAUGCGGAAGAGAUAAGUGCUGAAAGCAUCUAAGCACGAAACUUGCCCCGAGAUGAGUUCUCCCUGACUCCUUGAGAGUCCUGAAGGAACGUUGAAGACGACGACGUUGAUAGGCCGGGUGUGUAAGCGCAGCGAUGCGUUGAGCUAACCGGUACUAAUGAACCGUGAGGCUUAACCUUACAACGCCGAAGGUGUUU